GUUAUACAAAAUACCCCUUGCUCAUUAAUAAAUAAUAGUCCUCUAUUAUUUCUACUCAAUUCCAACGGAUUACCCUAAAAAUCAAAUGGCAAGUCAGUUUCAAGAAGUCUUGGUUUUCUGCUCAAUCACUCCAAGAUGCUAAGGCUUUUUGAAAUAGAUUAUAUGAAUAUUCAGGUCAGUCUGUUUUCUGCAGUGACUCAUAAUUGGGAUUCAGACAGGACCAGACUUGUCUGCUGAUGUGGUAUGGCAGGCCUGCCAGAAGGCUUGCUUUGUUUUGUUGGUUGAAAAGGAAAGAGGCAGGCGCCCAAGUCCCAAAGGGAAGCAGCUGUAGGGUAAAGGGUUAGAAUUUCAGCGGCAUUCCUUGGGCAGCCCCGUGGGUGUGGGGUUGAGUCGAUGGAGAGAACAGCUGCAGGCAGAAGCUGAAGGAACUGUUUUUAUAGGGGCCUCUGUGUGACACCCUGAGACAUGAGGAUGUGGGCAGUGCCACGAUUAUGCCCAGGAAAGAAAACCAUGUGGAUAGCUGAGAUCUUCUGUGAAGAAAGGAAAAGACAAAAGGCCGUAGAUCCAAAACUUAUAGAAAAUCAACGUUUAGAAUUUCAACUGUGGAGGAAGGACCAAAAAAAUGCAAGAAGCAGAUUGUUGACCAGAAGCCAGGGACAGCUGUCUUCCUGUAAUGGCCCACAGUGACACCCACAGAACUUUUCCCUUCAGUGUUCAACCCGCUAAAAUGUGUGAAGAGAUGUGCAAUCAUUUAGCAUCCCUGACAUCUAGGAUUAGAUGCAAGCGUUUUAUGCAGAGAAGUGCAUGGGUCCUGGAAGGUCAGUUGUCUACCUUUAGAUGAAUUUGUUUCAAUAAAAUCAACUUGUCUGGUUUUCUCUGCAUAAAAAUACCGAAAUGAUCACAGUACGUAUAUGCAUUGUGUGCAUAAAUGUAUCAUAGGCUGUCUGUAAGCAUCUUUCUGGGAGACAGGCCUUGGAUCUGAGUCAUGAUAAAUUUUAAAUGUGAGAUUUUGCUUUCAUUCUACAAAGGGUAAAGUGCAGACAUCAACCAUCUCUAAGGAACUGUUUUUGAAAACGAGGUCCUAGGACUGUCUGCAUCAGAAUUACCUGACUUUAAUAUCUCCAUAUUUCAGAGUUUCACCCCAAGUAAGGUGAGGGCACCUGCUUUUUGGCAAACACCUAGGGCAUUCUGAUGCACACAACCCCAUAAUCUCUUGUUCUACUAUCAAACUGUGCCUAUUCACUUAUUAAAAUCAAGGCAGAAAUCAUAAAGAUUAUCAAAGAGAAUCCAGCAGCACAUCAAAGGACUAAAUUACCAAGGUCAAGUGGGUUUCAUUCCAGAGAUGCAAGGGUAAGUCCAUUUUAGGAACUCCAUUAACUGAAUUCAUUUUAAUAGAUCUUAAAAGAAAAGUCAUCUAAUAUUACCUACAUUAAUGCUGGAAGAGCUCUGGAAAAAAAUAUACAUCUAUUCUUCGUGAAAAUUCUCAGUCCUUAGCAUGACUGAGUUGAUCUGCCGUAAUCUGAAGCCCACAUCAUACUUAGCGGGAAACCACCAGAAAUAUUUCCAUCAAAGUCAGAAACAAACAAAGGAUACUUACUCAAUCACACUUGUUGUAAGAGGUACUUUAGGAAGUGGUAAAGUUUGUGGACUUUGGUAUUCAACUACUACUAUCAAGGUUCAAAUCCCAACCUUGCAAUUUAUUUAAUAUUUCUCUGCUGAGUUUCCCUUUCUGUAAAUAGGCAUAAUUAUAAUACUUAAAUCAUAAAGUUCCUUGCCAUGAGGUAUUAGUAGCUUGAUAGGUAUAAAAUAAUUGAUAGGUUCAUGGAAGUGUUUGACAAAUAUUAGCUACCAUUGUUAUUAUUUAACAUUAUUUUUGAAGUACUAGACCAAACAGAAAGAAAGGAUUUAGAGGUGCUAAAAGAAGAGAUAAGAUUAUCUGUAGAUAAGAUUAACUAUAACUAAAAUACAGUUACUAUAAUUGUAAAACUNNNNNNNNNNNNNNNNNNNNNNNNNNNNNNNNNNNNNNNNNNNNNNNNNNNNNNNNNNNNNNNNNNNNNNNNNNNNNNNNNNNNNNNNNNNNNNNNNNNAGAUAAGAUUAUCUGUAGAUAAGACUAACUAUAACUAAAAUACAGUUACUAUAAUUGUAAAACUUGAAAAUCCAGAAAGACUACUGAAAAACUAUGACAGAUAAUAAGAAAAUUCUCUAAAUAGCAGGCUAUAAAAUUCUUGUACAGAAAUCAACAGAGCUCAUAUAUAUGAAAAAACUUGAGUGAAAAGAAGGCAUAGACUGUUCCUGUGUAGGAAGACUCAACAUUCUAAGGAUGUUAAUCCUUUCUAAAUUAAAUUAUAAAUUUAACACUGUCAUUAAUAAAAUAUAAGGAAUUUUUUUAAAAAACUGGAUACAUUGAUUCUAAAU
RNAcentral lists this long non-coding RNA (2416 nucleotides) under Capra hircus (goat). RNAcentral describes it as "lncRNA (ENSCHIG00010007527.1)". The record is from RNAcentral. Lineage: Eukaryota; Metazoa; Chordata; Mammalia; Artiodactyla; Bovidae.